Molecule: ribosomal RNA, 270 nt
Filed under: uncultured soil bacterium
Lineage: Bacteria
Description: partial 16S ribosomal RNA
Rfam family: Bacterial small subunit ribosomal RNA
Source: RNAcentral
AGAAUCAACGCUGGCGGCGUGCCUCAGACAUGCAAGUCGAACGCGAAAGUUUCCUUCGGGAGGCGAGUAGAGUGGCGCACGGGUGAGUAACACGUAGGUAAUCUACCUUUGGAUGGGGAAUAACAACCGGAAACGGUUGCUAAUACCGCAUAAUGCAGCGGCACCUAAUGGUGACAGUUGUUAAAGCGGGGGAUCGAAAGACCUCGCGUCUGAAGAGGAGCCUGCGGCGGAUUAGCUAGUUGGUAAGGUAAUGGCUUACCAAGGCUACGA